Molecule: ribosomal RNA, 458 nt
Filed under: uncultured Sphingobacteriales bacterium
Lineage: Bacteria; Pseudomonadati; Bacteroidota; Sphingobacteriia; Sphingobacteriales
Description: bacterial SSU rRNA
Rfam family: Bacterial small subunit ribosomal RNA
Source: RNAcentral
GCACAAGCGGAGGAACAUGUGGUUUAAUUCGAUGAUACGCGAGGAACCUUACCUGGGCUUAAAUGUAGAGUGCAUUGAGAGGAAACUUUCAUUUUCUUCGGAACUCUUUACAAGGUGCUGCAUGGUUGUCGUCAGCUCGUGCCGUGAGGUGUCGGGUUAAGUCCCAUAACGAGCGCAACCCUUAUCGUUAGUUGCCAGCGGGUAAUGCCGGGAACUCUAGCGAAACUGCCGGUGUAAACCGAGAGGAAGGUGGGAUGACGUCAAAUCAGCACGGCCCUUAUGUCCAGGGCUACACACGUGUUACAAUGGCCGGUACAGAGGGCAGCUACCUGGAGACAGGAUGCGAAUCUCGAAAGCCGGUCUCAGUUCGGAUCGGAGUCUGCAACCCGACUCCGUGAAGCUGGAUUCGCUAGUAAUCGCGCAUCAGCCAUGGCGCGGUGAAUACGUUCCCGGGCCUU